Dermochelys coriacea (leatherback sea turtle) is the source of this 11843-nucleotide long non-coding RNA. RefSeq lists it as uncharacterized. The record is from RefSeq and is a predicted model, not a curated record. The transcript has 2 exons. NCBI's taxonomy places the organism in Eukaryota, Metazoa, Chordata, Testudines, Dermochelyidae.
ACCAAGGGAGGGGGAAUGUAGUGAGUGUGGAGUGGGGCCUCAUGGAAGGGGCAGGGCUAGGGUGUUUGGUUUUGUGCGAUUAGAAAGUUGGCAACCCUAUGUUGGCCCCAGAUGUAACAGAGAAUGAAAGCCCACAGUGGGGCUGUGUAAUAACAACUGGAACCAGAGUAAUCUGACCAGCUCUCCAGAGGAAGAUGUGUAUUCAGGUGGUUUUCAGACACUGCAUGGAGGAGCUGGGCCUCUUAUAAAAUGCUCCACAUUUUAAAAAAAGAAGGGAGCCUGGAAACAGAAGGCUAAAACAGUUUCUGCUGAAAUCGCCAGAAUUUCCAUAGAGAAGUGAAACUGUAUGAAAGUUAAGGGGAUUAUUUUCACAGAUUGGAACAUUUCCAGUUUUCCAAGAGCAAAAAAAAGCUUAGAUGAGGAGUCAUUUUCCAGGAAAAAAAAAAGACCUAUUUGUUAGGAAUAUUGACUAUGUAUCUGUAUUUCAACUAUGCUACUUUGGGUGACGCCCACUGCUAACAACUUCAGGUAAAACAAUGGAAAAGCCAGACAGGACAGAUGGCCCAUUAGUGAGGACAACAGACUGAAAAGCUUGGUCUUCCUGUGGACGCUCCAUACUGCCACUGACUCAUGGAUGCUGUGAUCCUACAGAGUCAGGUGGUCUUGUCACCUGAUACUAAAACUUUACCUGGGACUUCUUGUAACUUUCCAGUGUAAGGGAAGGAGGGUCACACUAGGAAACAAAGGACUCCCACCUUAUGCAAAUCCUAUUUAAGGGUGGGGAAUGAGGUAAUCCAGGUUGGCAGUUCUCCCCUGCUUCCCCACCCAAGAUGACUGCUGGAAACAACCAAGACUGAAUUGAAGGAAAGGUCUGGACCUAGGCUGGAAGGGCAUCUGGCCUAUGAAGAAUAUUAUUAGAACCACAUUUAAGGUGAGAAUUUACGUGUAACCAGUUUCUUUAGUGUAUUAAGCUUAGUUUGCAUGCUAUUUUUCACUUUUUUUAGUAAUCUGCCUUGUUCUGUCUGCUAUCUCCUUAACUACUUAAAAUACACCUGUUACAGUUCAUAGAUUGAUUUCUGGUUUACAAUAUAAUCCAGUUUAUGUGAUUUCUAACUGGGGAAGGGGGGCAAGAAUUUGUGCAUACCCUCCCCCACAUUGAGGGAAGAGGCAAAUUUCAUAUAAUUUUGGGUUUGUACUACCAAGAGGGGUGGGGGGGGAUAUCUGGGUGCUGUGGCAAGCCCCUUAAGAUGAGCCUUCUCAGAGUGCAUCUCUGUCUCUCUGUGCAGCGGGGUGUGGCCCUGCCUGUGUGCAUAGUUGGAAAAGGCUGGGACACCUAGCCCAGCAAAACCAGGUAAAAGGGGGCCCAGGCUGCCAGAACAAUCUGCCUCAAUCAGACAAUCACUGCUAACCUUUUUGGUGAAAACAAACAAACAAAAAAGGCAUUUAACACUUUGGCCAUUCCUGUGAUUUCUUUUUCCCUCCUCAUAGAGUAACAGGUCUACCCUGUCCUUUGUCUUCCUCUAGCUUCUCAUAUAUUUGUAAAAUGUUUUCUUGUUGCCCUUUAUGACCCUAGCUAAUUUAACCUCGUUUUUUGUCUUGGCCUUUCUAAUUUUCUUGCAACAUGCUAGUGUUAUUUUAUAUUUAUUUUUCAUAAGUUGACAAACUUUCCACUUUUUGUACAACUUUUGUUGUUGUUGGUUUGUUUGUUUCAGGUCAUUACCUACCAAUUCUCUGAGUUUGCUAAAGUCUGAUUUCUUAAAGUCCAUUGUCUUUAUUCUGAUGUUCUUCCACAACUGCUCCUAUAAUCUCAUUAACAUUGUACUGAAGACUCAAACCACUCCCGACCUCCCCCUUUCCAUCUAUGCUGACAUCUUUUCACAUCUUUCUGAUACAGGCUAUUCCCUUCCCAAUCUUCCGUCAACAGUGACCUCUCUAUUUCACUUCUGGUCACUAAGGCUUUCAAACAUGGACCACUCUCUGACUCUUCCUUUCCCUUCUUUCCUCACAUCCAGGGUCACACCCAACCUUUUGGUUUCUCCCUCUGUGACAUUUGUACAAGCUGCCUUUAACUAAAAACUUCUUAUGGAGGAUGAGAGAUAUUUCUGUAUUAUUUUUAAUUAACAUGAAUGUGAUUCAGUUUCCCCACUCACUUCUGUAUUGCUACUUACUUGGUAUGAAGGGGUUAAUUUAUUUUCAGAAACAGGAAAAUAAAUGAUGAACUGACUACGUACAGGUCAUGUAGACAUGUAUGGGUUGGUAUGAAUGGACAAGUAAGAACUGUCAACACAGGACUGCAGCUACUUCAGAGAUACAAUGGAGACCCAUGUCCAGAUCAUUAACUUUUAAUAAUAGCUGCCCAAAGGGACCUAAUGGAUGUGAUGGACAAUUACCAGUCUGACUACAACGCUUCCCCUACUAGAAUGCAGGGGGAGGCAGCACAUGUGUCUGGGGCUUGAGACAAAGGACUAAGUUGUUAGGAAAGCUCGUAAAACUCCUGCUCUCUCACUGGAAGGGAACAAUUCAAUCUGGGAUGGCCAAGGCCAGAAAGUUUGUGGCAAGCGUGUAAUCAGUCUAUCAGACUAGGGCAAAGAGGAGCAAGGAGAAAUUAGCAAGUUAGCAGAGAUGUGUUUAAGCUUUGCUUUCCAUUGAAACCCUAGGUCACUAAAUGCUGUAUUCCAGCUGACUGAUAAAUACGUCUUGUUUUGAAAAGGCUGCCCUGUGUCACUGCCAACAUCUGCUGGUUGCAUAGCUCCUAAGAGGGUAGGUCUGCAACAGGGGUCCAAGUUCCUUUAGACCUCCAGAAGGUGGUGCUGAAGCCAGGGACUCAGUCUCAGUAGUGGAGUCGGGGGGCUCCCCCCUGGAGCAAAAUGGAGGGCCAGGGCCUAGCACUAAGAAGCAAUCUUUCUGCAAAUGUAUCCAGUAAGAUGGAUCCAUGCCCCGUGGAUCCAUGACAUCCCCCACUGCCAAAAGCCAGGUUCAUGCCCUAUUUCUCUCUUGCUGGGUGGAUAUAACCUCUUCCUCUCCAACUUCCCUAUCAUCUUUCCCCUCUUCAACCUAUCCAACAAGCCAUCAUUUACAAAGUCAUUAAAGUAAUUCUGUGACUUUUAAUCUUGUAGGAAUAGUCUUUCAAAACUCCCAGAUGCAACUGAGUAUUUAACCCUCUUCUAUACACAAUUUCAUGCUCAAGAGCACAGGCAUUAAUAGCGCCGACACAUUCAACUCCCAGCUCUUCGGCCACCCUCCUUAGUUCUUAUUCUAGAACUUGGACCAAACCACAAUAUUCAGAUCCAGACCCAAGAUUUCUCCAAAGUUCCAUGGUGUUCAGAUCUCGGGUUUUGAUUUGGCCUAUAAGAGAGGCUAGGGUAGACAGGCAACAUUUGGAUCUAGAUCUUAACUACAGAGGAGGAGAGAAUAUUUGGAUUGGAGUUUUUGCUUAAUGUCAAUCUCCAUUUUAUUUAGCAGGAGCCAAAGAGAAAUGAUAUAGCUGCAAUAGUUUCUAAUUGUAUGACUUAAUCACAACUACUCCCUUUCCACUGAGGCCAAAUCCCAAAAUGAAGAUGACCUUCACUGACCCUGAAGUUACUGCUUAAUGUUCUGCCGCUGAGAGUGGCUGAAACUAAUGUCUCAGGUUAAGUUAAAAGAGUGGAAGAAGUCACAAACUGCAUACAAGGACCAAGGCAACUGAGCUACAAUAUAUUCGCAAACUACAAUGUUAAUGCAAAGAACACCCAAGGCCACUUAUCUGAAGUGCAUCAUUGCAUACAGCAGCCUGCCCUCCUUAAUUCCCUCAGAGCCCUUUAAACAAUGUGACUAUUCUGUGGUGCAUGGUGGGACACAGACUGUGCAUUUUAACAACAGAAGGAUGGAACAUCGGUAUUUAUUAGCAAAAUCAAUCCAUGUGGGAUUAGAUGGUUCGGGAGACUGGUAAAGUAAUAAGGAAUUUUUCACCCCCUAAGGGGCAGCACUUCCAAUCUGGUCCAUGUUAUUAAAUGACAGAGGAAGAUCAUCAAGAAGAGGAUUGAGAGUCACUGGCAAGCCAGUUUGGCAGAGUUUGCCUUCCUUCUGCCUUGCACAGUAUCUGAUCUUGCAGAGAAGUGUUCGCGUUUCAAUCAGCUUCAGCUGGCAUCUUUCACCAGAUCCUUCUUCAGAGGAAAAAAGAACAUCCCCCCUUUAUGAAGAAUGUACAUUUCCUUUGAGAAGCACAGAAAGCUGCAAAAUUAAUGUCUGAUUGCAUCCCACUAUCACAACAGCACCUGAUGAUUCUCAAUCCCACCAACAUAUGAAUGGAAGACAUUACUGGACACUUCUUAGAGUGGAAACUCAGAUCCUCAGCAGCAUAUUAAGACAUUCUGCAAAGCAGUUUUAGCUUCUUCUUAUAUGAUCUUUAAUAGUUAAUUUAAGUAAUUCAUUAGUUAAAUGUGCAGAGCCAGAGGGCUAUGUUCUACCCUCAGUUACACUGGAGUAAAGCUGGAGUUAACUCCACUACAGUCAGUGGAUGUGCACAUGGAAAGAGCUAAAGUUUUGGCUAAUUUUCAAGAGAGAAACACUGCUAAACACAGCAAGCUAGGCAGUUCUUGGCAUGACCCAUCAUGGCUUGUAUAAAAUAUCUUUUGAUUUACUAGACAAUGCUAUUUCCUUUUUGCCCGAUUUAUUUAAUGACCUUUUAAAGUCUUGUGGAUUUAAGACAGUUAUUUUCCUUCUGCCUGUUCACAGUUUUGGAAUUUAGUAACAAAAUUAGGGCUAGAUAAUAGACAACAUUUUCAACAUUACCAAAAUGGGGAAGUUGCCUAUAGUUCUAGAAAAUACAGAUUAACCUCAAAAAGCAAUUAGUGGAUUUCAAAAGAUAUUUAGGGUAAUUUCUUUCAUUGAACCUCUAGCAUAUUAAUCUUCUUCCUAUUAGAAAAACAGAAUUAGCCUGUAUAGAGAAUGGCAAUUUUUCUUUACCUUGAAGAUUGUGGUUAAACUCUUAAUUGGACAAAAUACAAAUACUGGGAAUAGGACAACUAUAGAUAAUCUGGAAGUGGCUACAUUUAUAUAGCACAUGUACACUUGUUUUUGUCUUCAAAGAGCUUCACAGACAUUUAACAAACCCUCAGCACCACUGCAAUACAUGACGUUAUGAUCCCCCUUUUACAGAUGAGGCACAGGGAAAAUGACUUGCACGAGGUCACCCAGCAGACUAGUGGCAGACCCAGGAAUAGGACCCAGGUUUCUUGAGUCCCAGUCCAGUGCUCUAUCUACGAGGGGAAACUACUCCCAAUUCAGGAGUCUGCCUCCCAGCUUGGUACUGUGACUAUAUCUAUCUCUGGGAAUCAGUCCACAUUUGACAACUAAGCAAGAUUUUUUCCUAUAUCCAUGUAUUUAAGUAACACGCUAAGUAUAGGAAGGGAAACGAAUACUGAAAUAACAAAUGGCAAAUGAAAAGUUUACACCAUGAUGCCAUUGUAUGCACAGUGCCAGAAUACAAAUAUUGUACCUAUACCCCCCGUACACAAUAUUUUAUGAUAAACAACCACCGUGGGGUUUUCUAAAGGUUGUAAGGGCAAUUCACUCAUUACUGUGACUUGGGUACUUCCUUCCCUUUGGUUCCUUUGAAAAAGACCACCCUAAAAGCACAGAGCUCUAUGACAGCAGUUUUCAAACUUUUUGAGCUGAGCCUCCAUUCCCAUCCCCCUUUGAGUUAUAAUUUUUGGUUGCACCCUUUAACCCAGACAAAAAUAGGCACAUGCAAAAGUAUGUUUGAUAGCCUACUCAUAUACCUAACAGAGACCUUAAUAAACUUUAAGUAAAUUACCUACUCCUGUAAGUUUCAAAUACACAGAUACUUUAACGUGAAGGGUGUGCCUGUUUCUCUGCAGACAGUUUAUCUAUUUGUGGGGAGAUUUUUGAAACUGACACUGAGGUUGUCCUCUAUUUCCAGUUUUGAAUAGUACUUUGUCUUUAGCACAGCCAGCGCAGAGAAUCUGAUCUCAUACAAAUAAGAUGAGCCUAACGAUAAAAGAGCUUUGAUCGCAUACUUUGACAAAGCUGGAUAUUCUGAGCCAACUUUCAACCAAAAAUCCCCCAAAGACUGUUUUUUAAAAAUUGAAUGGCCAGCGUCCUCCCACUCUGAAGUUCAAUCAACUUCUUCUGAAUGUCAUUUGAGAGAUGAGACAAGGUCACUGCCUCAGCUACAAAAGGUUGAAUAAUCCAGUCAUUCAGGGAGGGGCGCAUUUCCUUCAGGAAAAUAUUUCUCCAAACUGGCUCUGAGAGAAGUUAAGUGAUUCUUGAUUGGCUCCACAACACUCAAUAGUUCAUAUUCUGUUUCAUCAAUAGCAUGCGUUAACAAUGGAAAUGGAACUCUUAAACCAGUUUUGACCUUUGUUUUCCAGAGAUCUCACUUUCUCUUGAACGUUAAUAUCUUGUUGUGCAGGUCAAAAAUAAUACUUUCUGGUACUAUUUUCUGGUUUGGUAAAAAAUAUCAGCAAGGUAAGUCAAAAGCACAAGCCUGUGGGGAUCACACAAUGUCUCUGCAGUGCUGAAAUUCAAAUCCACUAGAAAAAAAUCAAACUUUGUUUCUAAGUUCAUAAAUGCAUUGCAAUACUUUCUCCCUGGAUAGCCACCUGAAUUCCGUGUGAACCAACCAAGUCUUAUGCUCUACUGCUAUUUCUGCACAAAGCAUUGGAAAGAGACGACGUGCCUUUGUGGGCUGUGUCUUGAUAAAGUUCACAAUUUUAAUAGCAACCUCAGAACAUCAGUAAGUUCCCGAUCCAGGUUUUGAGCUGUAAAGGCUUCACGAUGUAUCAUACAUGAUAUAUGUGGAGCAAUUUCAAGCACUUUGGCUUUUAAGCCUCCUGUAUCUCUAGACAUAGAAGGGGCUCCAUCCAUGCAGAGUCUGAUGCAGGUUUCCCACUUCAAUUCAUGAGAAGUUAGGAAGUUGUUUAAAAUGUUAGAUCGCUCAUAUCCAGUUCCACAUAUCUUAAUUGGCUUGCAGAACAAAAAUCUUCCUAUAUCGAUGCUUCAUGGGAGUACCAAACGCAAGCACUUUAGAUAUAUCUAUUGCUUCAUCCAACUGGAUUGCAAAUAAACUAGAUUGCAAUUGAGAGAUCAGCUAUGCCUUGACAUUUUCUGACAUGUCAGAGACUUGAUGGCUGACCGUGUUGUCUGACAGCAGGAUCAUUUUUGACUUCUCUGAUGCACAAUCACCAAACGAAUGUCAACUGCUGCUGGAGAAUCAGUUUUUCCCCCAGUUGUAUAAGGCAUUUUCACCACGAUGAUAUGAAAAAAAUAUCGAACUCACCAGCACAAUAAGCACUACACAACAGCUUGUUGGAAUGACAGGACAGGCUAUACUAAACGGGAAGGCAGGAAAGGUAGCUGUCGCUAUAGAAAUGACAUUGGCUUAUAAUUAAACACAGUGUAACAUACUCCUGCUUACUGCAUCAGCAGCAUUGUAUUGGUCAAUGCUACUUAAUUCACAAUAUUAUAGAAAUUGCAGAUUUAUUGCACCAUAAUUGUGUCAGCUCACAGCUGGGUUCCCACUGUCAGGCCUGGGCAGUUGGGGCUCCCGCUGUCAGCACAGGACAGCUGACAAAAUUGUGGUGGAAGCCUAAUAUUGUGGGAUCCACAAUUUCUGCCAUAUUGCAAAUUAAAUAGGGCCUUAAAAAUAAUUUUAAAAAAAGUAAAAAAUGCCUUGCGCAUCAUGCCCUCCCCCUGGAACAUUCCUGCAUGCCCCACAGUUUGAAAACCUUUGCUCUAUGGCGUGUGUGUGUUUGUUUUUUCCAACUCACUUUAUAACCAUAUAUAACUGCAUUGUUUUGACGAUGAGUCUGUUUACUUUGCAGGAUCAUGUCUGUGCCCUACAUGUGAUCUCUUUUAACAGCGACCCUGCCAACAAAAUGCAUGAGAUGCUGUACAAACACAUCUAGAAUAAAAGGAUGUAUAUUUAGAUGUUCACAUGCUUCAGGGAUGAGCACAACAUAUGCUGCACAAAGCCACAGGAAGAUGCAAUCCCAGCCCCUAAACACCUACACUCUAAUUUCCUCUAUACGUACAGAUGAGCUUAGAUAACAUAGGACAUCUGAGACCAGAUCACCUUUGUUGAUACAGCAUUUUGGAGGCCAUGGGAGCAAGCCUCCUAGCCCAGGUCAACAGACUCGGGCUCACAGGACUUGCACAAGCACUAUGAAAGCAGAUGUAGACAGUGCUCUGAAGUUGCGGCGUGGGCUGGAGAUCAACCUCUGAACCCCCUCCCCUGCCAGGCUUCAGAGCCUAAGCUCCAGCCCAAGCUGCAACUCCAAAGCGCUGUCUAUGCUGCUAUGUUUCGCGCACAGGUGUAGUUUGACUGCCGUAUGGGCGGGGAGGGGGGAGAAUGGGAGCGCGCCAGCCAGGCCAACCGAGUCUUGUGGGGGGCAAAUUCCGCACCUGCCUGAGACUUGCAAUGCUAGGCCCGCUGUGGGGUUACCGCUGCCCCAGUGUUUGUUCAGAACUCACAAAUGGACCCUGAGGGCUCAGUGUCCAUUCCUCUUUGGUUAAGUGGGUGUAGCUUCUCAUGCCAAAAGACGCUGAGUGAGUGGAGCGGUGUGUGUGUGUCUACACAUGUGUGCCUGUGUGUGUGUGUCCCUGAGGUCACGAGAAAUGCAAAGGGUGUGAGAGGCGCUGACCCAGCAACACGUGUGUCUGAGUGCGUAUACACAGACACCCUCCUGCCCCCCCAUCUCGCACAUGCUGAAGCCAGUUCCUCUGACUCGCUGGCUCUCUCCCUGUCCAGAGUGGCGGGCACUCCUAUGGCUGCAGAUUACCGAGGCUGCCGAUGGCUGGGGUGGGCAGGCUGACUUAGCGGGGGAGCCCCAGCUGCUGUGGUGAACUUAGUGCGGGAGCUGCGGAAACUCCAGCACCGGCUGCUGUGAGAACCUGGACUUGAUGCCACUGCUGUAUUUCAUGGUGCAAGUGGAUGCCACAUGCUAGGCUCCCACUUCCCUGCCGCACUGCAAAGAGACAUGCAGCAGCGCAGGCUCCACUAGGACCGUCAAGUAGCCAGCACCCCAGACUGCUUGGGGGUGAGGAAGAGGAAGUCAGGGAUCAGAGGGGCUGCUGGAAGGGGCCCACCCUGGUGCAUUAAGUUGAAUACACUGAGCCUUGCCCCUCUGACCAAAGGUGCCCCCCUGACCACAGCGCCAUGGGUGGUUGCCCUGUUUGGGGGGGGGGGGAACACCCCUCCUUCCCCCACCAAAAUGAUGCCCAUGGUUUAGAGUGCUAAUACAAGCCCCGCUACCCUGAGUCUAUUGAUCCAGGCAGGGAGGCUUGCUUCCAUGGGAUUCAAAAUGCUGUGUAAAUGUACCCUAAGAAGAGUCGUUGACUCUUGGGCCCGGGACGUGGGACCAUCUGACUAAGGUCAUGCUCUAGAGAGCUUUCAGCAGCCGCUCUAUGCUGAUGGGAGAGAGCUCUGCCUUCGACAUAAGUGUCUCCCACCAACAUAGCACUGUCCACACUGGCACUUUUUUCAGUGUAACUUAUGUUUUUUUCACACCCGAGUGAAAAAAGUGGUAGUGUAAACAGCCUAAGAAAAAGUCAGACAUUGCUAUUCUAAGCAGUAAAUCAGAGGGCCUGUGUCGGACCACUAUUCUGGGUAGUUUCUGUUCUUUUACAGUCAUCACCGAAAAGGACAGUAUGAAGCCACUAGAACACUGCACACCAGUAGCUAAACAAUGUAAUGCUGAAUUAAAACAGGCCAAUGUAACCCAUGAGCCGGAAGAUACAUCACUCAAUGAUUGACGACAGCAGCUUUCCUCUAAAGAUUCAACACAGAACAAGGGAAUGCUAUUCAUUGCUGCCAAAAUUAGCUUAGCAGUGUAUGCAAGGAUGGAAAAGCUUCAAGAAAGGGUUCUAAACAAGGAUAUAUUUGAGUCCUAUGGGGAUACAAGCCAGGCAAUACCAAAAGUUUAUUUCAGCUCAAUAAAUCUGACUAUUAUUCACAUCUAUGCACCGAUUGCACCAGCCAAAAGAUGAGGAAACUGAAGGGCUGUACAGACAACUCAGGAACUCAUUCAUACUUUGCCAAAACACAUCAUGCUGCCAAUUACAGGGGGAUUUUCAUUGCUAUAACAGAGGGAAAUAUGGUUAUCAGAAUGUAACAGGAGACAUGCACUAGGAGAGAGAAAUUAACAAAGACACCAACUCAUUGAGUUCCACUCAGAAUCUGCUCAUCUCUUGUAAACAUUUGGUUUUAGCACUACCACAAGAGGAGGAAAUGCACUGGGAGUUCCCCAGAACAUCUCCAGAGGAAGAGAACUUGAUUGAAUCAUUGUGCAGAGAAAAUGGAAAAAUCAUUGUUGAGAACUAGACAAUUCCAACAGGUGCCAAUAUCAACUUGGUCAGCAAAAACUUUUGAAGAAAGUUCAAGCUUCCCCCACCAACGUUUAACAAUAUCCACCUUAUAAUACUCAGGAAUAGUCUGGACAACAUAAGGGAGUAGUACAAAAGAAGGAGGUGAUCAGAGGAUUUGGUGCACUGCUAAAAGGUAAGGCAGAAAAACUGCUAUGUUAUCUAUGAAAAGAGAUGACUGCACGUUCAAUAGUAAUGCAAAGAACAUAAAUGGAAUGGUACACACUAUUGUAGAAACAGAAACUAUGGCUGCAUAGUACAGUUUUUAAAUAAUACACAGAACUGAAAGCAAGACGACACUGAACUAGGGCACCAGGAGGGAAUACGCAACAGUGAGCUCAGAGUGUUGAUAAGCAAUGGAUUCUUCAUUAAAACAGCUUUUUUCCUUCGACCUCCUCCACAGAAAUCCAGAGAUAAAGCAUUCACCCCAUUUGCCUCAAUCAAAAUGGACCAACAUUUUAGGGUGCUGUGACAGUCUAUACCCCUUGCACACUGUUGUAAUUCUUUGCACAAAGUAUGUCUUGUGAGGUAUCAUUUGGAAACUCAAAUUUGCUGACCAGUAUUGUCCUCAUAACGUGUGUGUGGCAACACUGUAUGUAAAGUUGUAAGAUUCCACUGUAUGGAGUUACUAACCCAUGUUCCAAGUCUGGGGAGUAGCCAAACCAGUUCUUCAGAGACAAAUGGCACGCUGACACCUCAGCCAGGUCUAAACAAGGUUAAAUGGGCCAUCACCUGCUAAGUAGCUAUUCACUGGCAGGAAAAAGGAGAGGGCAAAAAUCUACAUCUUAGCAAAGAAAGAGUAUACACCAGGAGACUGCCUGGUGCCCUGCUCCCAGCUGGAGAAGCUUCUUAAAGGAGGGAGAGAACUAUAGAUGGAAAGGGGGAACACCCCAAAUGAUCUCUCCCUUCUUCUCUGUCUACUGCAUUUACAACAUCUGAAGAACUCUGAAGAGCUCUGAAGAGAAUGAGCCAAGGACACUGAGAAUCUUCUGAAGGCAUCUGGAGAAGGCUGAUUCUAACAUGGUCUCCAGCUGUGGAAACAGACAAAUAUCUUAAAUUAAAAAAAAGGGGAGGGUGUUAGGCUAGUGAGAAAGUUAAGCCAUACUGAUGACAAGUGAGGGUUGUAAGCGCCUUCAGGGCAACUGAUGAGGAACUGAUCACAUAUUCUGAAUAUACAUACAUAUAUACAUAUUAGGAUUUUUCUGCCAAAAGGACAAUUAGGUUGUUAUUGAAAUAAGAACAUCCUGUUUCCAACACCUGUUCGUAAGCCUACAGAAAACCUUUGCAAAUAUCUGUGUCAGCUGGCCAUUAUGCGUAUGUAGUUUUCAAUAAUAUACCUAAAACCUUCUCCUGCAUGUGCUUUGUACUUCUGGUUAAGACCAGAAUCAGAGGUUUGCUUUCUGUAUGAAAAGCUUCUUAUUGUAUGGAUAAACAUUCACACAGAGCACUAUGAAAAAUAAAACAUUUCAAACCUGUGUCCA